CCCCACAUUCCUGAGAAAUUUGAGGAGAUGGACGUCAGCCUGGAAGAAAGGGAGAAGCCGUUCCAGUGUGAGUUUGAGGGCUGCGACCGGCGCUUCGCCAACAGCAGCGACAGGAAGAAGCACAUGCACGUCCACACCUCCGAUAAGCCCUAUCUCUGCAAGAUGUGCGACAAGUCCUACACGCACCCCAGCUCUCUGCGGAAGCACAUGAAGGUCCAUGAGUCCUCCCCGCAGGGCUCUGAAUCCUCCCCGGCCGCCAGCUCCGGCUAUGAGUCGUCCACGCCCCCGGGGCUGGUGUCCCCCAGCGCCGAGCCCCAGAGCAGCUCCAACCUGUCGCCAGCGGCGGCGGCAGCAGCGGCGGCGGCUGCGGCGGCGGCGGCCGC
RNAcentral lists this small RNA (383 nucleotides) under Pongo abelii (Sumatran orangutan). RNAcentral describes it as "processed transcript". Lineage: Eukaryota; Metazoa; Chordata; Mammalia; Primates; Hominidae. The record is from RNAcentral.